Molecule: non-coding RNA, 23 nt
Filed under: Arabidopsis thaliana (thale cress)
Lineage: Eukaryota; Viridiplantae; Streptophyta; Magnoliopsida; Brassicales; Brassicaceae
Source: RNAcentral
ACGGUCCAAUCUCCACUCAAUGC